This 1149-nucleotide long non-coding RNA is filed under the name Amborella trichopoda. RNAcentral's name for it is "long non-coding RNA (ATRI_LNC001848)". Lineage: Eukaryota; Viridiplantae; Streptophyta; Magnoliopsida; Amborellales; Amborellaceae. The record is from RNAcentral.
CAACCUUACAAAUUACACCAUACACCUUAUUCUCUUCUGAUAUUCAAAACAUCAAUCACAAACAACAAAACAAAGACGUAAGAGAGAGAGAAAGAACACUUACGCCGAAAACUGAUGACCACAUACCAGAAAAAGAUGCUGUGAGAAAGUAGCGUCCACGAAUAUCCGCACAAAUCUAUAGUCCUCAACAGAAUAGAAUACAGAGAUAAAGGCCUUCCAUGGAUAUUCGCCUCCCAAAGAGAGAGAUGAAUGCUUACAGGAGAGAGGAAAAGUAACUAUCAAGAGCGAGAGAUGAAUGCUUAAAGAAGAGAGAGAAAGUAACCAUCAAAGCGCGAGAGGGACAAAUGCUUUGAAGAAGAGAGAGAAAAUAACUGCCAAGAGAGUAACGAUCGUUGGGAGUGAGAGAUGAACGCUGAAAGCGGAGAGAGAGUAAUGAAUGCAGAGAGAGAGAUGAACGCUUAAAGCAGAGAGAAAGUAACUAUCAGAGAGAGAGAGAGCGAUUCAGUCAUUGAGCUCCCACAAUAAUAUUACUCGACUCGAUUAUGUUAAUCAAAGAUCAGAGAGAGAAAGAGAGAGAGACCGGAAGAAUGUUACUGGCUUUGAUUAUGGCUGGGGAGCUGAUCUUUCACAGAACUCAAGUACUCAACUCCUCCCUCUCUUUCCCUCUCUACUGUUGCUGCUGAAGGUCCACCAUCUGCAAGCCACCAUUCACCGGCAGCGGCCAAACAACUGAUUGUGCGCCCGAUUUCACACAACAAUGGUACCAUGCCAUGGAGCCAAAAGCGAUCAACACAAACAUCCCCAAGAGGCCGAGCCCGACCCACAUCGGGAUAUUUGGGAUAAACAUCAACACUGCAAUGACUAUCAUUGUCGCCACAAACAAAACACCCGCCCAAAUCUGUAUACAGUCCGCUCUCCUCACUCGUGUAGCCUGCAUCUUCAAUCUGUAUUCUUAAGAGAGGGAGAGUCUCCUAAUCUUAGGUAUGAAAGAUAUUGUAGAGAGAGAGACAGAGAGAGAGUAGGCGUUCUUGAUUUUCUUGGCGGAAGAAGAAGACGGAGGAGGAGAAGAAGAGUAGGAAGAUACUGCAAGAGAAAGAGAGGGAGGGGUGUUUGUUGAUCGGAGGAAGGACAACAAGUAUUUAGAGAGAG